AUCCUUCUUCUGUCGCCGCGACCUCUAAUCUCCUCUAAUUUCUUCUUUUUCCGCGGUCCAUCAUUUUACAGACUCGAUCUUCAAUUACGACUUGGAGGCUCUAUGGAUUCUUCUGGAAAGAGAUGCAGAUCUCAUCCAUCAGACUACUAUCAACGAUCGCCACUCCGCUCUUCAUAUAGCUGCUGCCAAUGGCCAUAUCGAGAUUGUCACCAUGCUUCUUGAGAUAUCUGUCAAUCCCAAUUUGUUGAAUCGCUAUAAGCAGGAGACCUUUUUAUCUGUGUUAGCAAGAUACUUAUGUUCAAGAUUAGUUUUGUUAUUUAGAACAUUGAGGUUUAUAACUAUAAAUUUUAUUAGACUCCAUUGAUGCUGGCUGCAAUGAACGGGAAGAUAUUUCGUGCGGAAAAGCUUAUUGAAGCUGGAGCUAAUAUUUUGAUGUUUGACUCGAUUAAUAGAAGGACAUGCCUACCCUAUGCUGCUUACUAUAGUCAUUCUGAUUGUCUUCAAGUCAUUCUUUCAGCCGCUAGUACAUUCAAUGUUGUUGUAUCUUGAGGGAAUUGGGUGUGACAUGGGAUGUGGAUUUAUACGGAGAAUUUCUCAAGAUUGGGGGUGGAAAAGAAAGGAUGACAACUUACUUUAACAUAACUAGUUGGCCAGAUAAGCUCCUAAGGAUGAAACUGAAAGAAAGGAAUUUAUUGCUUAUCUUCACAAAAGGAAGACCGAACUGUUCAUGGUCCUUAUUGAGAAGAAGUCGUUGCCUCUUCGACCAGGUGUUGCAAAGCUCUUACUAAAGGAGUAAAAGUGGCUUUGUGCAGUACAUCCAAUGAGAAGGCGGUCUCUGUAAUAGUUUCAUUCCUAUUAGGACCAAAAAGAGCAGAGAAAAUCCAAAUAUUUGUUGGGAUGUGGUGCCUCGCAAGAAACCUGAUCCAGAAACAUCUUUUUUACCUUUGUAAUUCAACUAGAGACAAAUUUGAAAAUAACAAUAGCUUAAGAUUUAAUAGUAUGCAUCUUUUUUCAUGAAGAUUCAGGAUAACCUCUUUUAUUCUAACCUCAAAUUGUUUCCCUUUGAAAUCAAUGGCAGGAAAAUUUCAAACAAAGCAUACAACUGAGCUCCAACUUCGGGAGAUAAUUUCUAUUGAAAAGAGGGAUGAAUAUGUCAACAAUCUUUUGUUUAAACUCGGUUUGGUCAGUUGUGUUGAUUCCCAUAUUAGGGAUGCAAAAGUGCGAGGAAUUAGUGGUGGUGAAAAGAAACGUUUAUCAAUGGCAUGCGAAAUGAUUGCAGCCCAUCUGCCAUUUUUUGCUGAUGAGCCUACAACAGGACUUGAUGCCUUCCAUGCAGAGAAGGUGAUGGAAACUCUCAGACAAAUGGCACAAGAUGGACAUACUAUGAUUUGCACUAUACACAACCCCCAGGUUCACUUUAUGCCAAAUUCGACGUCAUUGUAUUACUCAUGGAAGGUGCACUAGCCUACAGUGGUGCUGCUCGUGCUGAACCAUUAACUUAUUUUGCAAAGAUGGAUUGGAAGGAUGUGAUCGAUUUGAGUUGUAAUUUUUGUUGAUUGAUAAGGGAGCUGUCGAGACAUCUUCCACUUUAUGCGAAAUUGAAUCUCCUUAAAGUAUUCAUCCUCGAGUUGUCAACUGCAAGAAGAAAAAAUGUGGACACAACAACUAAGUUUUUGUUUUC
Molecule: long non-coding RNA, 1681 nt
Organism: Impatiens glandulifera
Lineage: Eukaryota; Viridiplantae; Streptophyta; Magnoliopsida; Ericales; Balsaminaceae
Exons: 12
Source: RefSeq, a predicted model, not a curated record